UGUCUGCAACAGUGGCUGAUGUAGAGAAGACCCUCACCCUACCCUCGACUCCUCGUCUAAUACUGCUCGGUGGAACAGAGCGUGUGACUGCUGGACGCUGGAUGAUCAGCCUUGAGGGUCAUAUCAUGCUACUCUGUUUUCAGUGUACUACAUCUGCAAUCUACAGUACCAAGAGGAGGCUGCCUGUACACUUGAAUUCAUUUAAAGGCGCUUCAUUGGGAUCAACCCAGAAAAAGGGACCAAGGCCAGCGGGGGCAAGAUUGUCUCCAAGAAGACAGGGAGAGUCGUUCAGAAGAGUCACAGUCAACCCCCGUGUGUCCUCUCUUCUGAAGAACCUCAUAGACUUUGAGUGGGAUUUC
This is a long non-coding RNA of Cololabis saira (Pacific saury), 359 nucleotides long. RefSeq lists it as uncharacterized. Lineage: Eukaryota; Metazoa; Chordata; Actinopteri; Beloniformes; Belonidae. The record is from RefSeq and is a predicted model, not a curated record. The transcript has 3 exons.